AGGAGAAGAAAGAAAAUGAAAGGAGAAGAAGAAGAAGAAGAAGAAGAAGAAGAAGAAGAAGAAGAAGAGAAGAAAAAGAGAAGAAGAAGAAGAAGAAAAAGAAGAAGAAGGAGAAAGAGAGGGUGGUGCCGGAAAAAGAAAAGAAAAAGAGAGAAAGAGAAUAGAGAAAGGAGAAAGAAAGAGAAGAAAAAAAAUAGAAAAAGUAAGGUAUUUUUUUAAAAAAUAAUAGAUUAUCUUGUUAUUAUGUUUUUUUGUAUAUUUUUUAUUGUUUUUUGUUGUUAGUUUAGUUAUUAUUGUUAGUUAUUAGG
Molecule: long non-coding RNA, 308 nt
Filed under: Gossypium raimondii (Peruvian cotton)
Lineage: Eukaryota; Viridiplantae; Streptophyta; Magnoliopsida; Malvales; Malvaceae
Description: long non-coding RNA (GRAI_LNC009897)
Source: RNAcentral